AGAAUAAAAUAAAAAGGAAACAAAAGAAAGAAGAAACAGAGAGCAGACCAAAAAGAAAGGAAGGAAAGGGGAAAGAAAAGAAAAAGGGAGAAUUGGGGUUUGGAAGCUUCAAGUUUAAUUGGUAGUAAAGAACCUGAGGCAUCGGCACCGAAAGGAAAUGUAACACCCCUUAACCCUUAUCCGUCCCCGAAACAGGAUUACGAGGCAUUACCAGUCAGUACAGUUCAUUUACGGUUAUUAAUUAAAAUUAUUAUUUACACUUAUCACAAAUUUAACAAAUUAUCAAAUAAUUCAAAUUUAUACCAAUUAAGCCAAA
Gossypium arboreum is the source of this 316-nucleotide long non-coding RNA. RefSeq lists it as uncharacterized. NCBI's taxonomy places the organism in Eukaryota, Viridiplantae, Streptophyta, Magnoliopsida, Malvales, Malvaceae. The record is from RefSeq and is a predicted model, not a curated record. The transcript is spliced from 2 exons.